This 315-nucleotide ribosomal RNA is filed under the name uncultured Chloroflexota bacterium. RNAcentral's name for it is "bacterial SSU rRNA". It matches the Rfam family "Bacterial small subunit ribosomal RNA", at positions 28 to 351 of the family's 1533-position model. The record is from RNAcentral. Lineage: Bacteria; Bacillati; Chloroflexota.
GAUAAACGCUGGCGGUGUGCUUUAUGCAUGCAAGUCGAACGGUCUUGAUUUAUCAAGACAGUGGCAAACGGGUGAGUAAUACGUAAGUAACCUACCCUCAAGUAGGGAAUAGCUCUGAGAAAUCGGAGAUAAUGCCGUAUGUGGUGGUGGAGGUAAUGCUUCAUCACUAAAGCUUUCGGGCGCUUGAGGAGGGGCUUGUGUCCGAUUAGCUAGUUGGUAGAGUAACGGUUUACCAAGGCUAAGAUCGGUAGCUGAUCUGAGAGGAUGUUCAGCCACACUGGGACUGAGAACGGCCCAGACUCCUACGGGUGGCAG